Long non-coding RNA from Bombus pyrosoma, 1944 nucleotides. RefSeq lists it as uncharacterized. Lineage: Eukaryota; Metazoa; Arthropoda; Insecta; Hymenoptera; Apidae. The record is from RefSeq and is a predicted model, not a curated record. The transcript is spliced from 3 exons.
AAACAGAAAUUGUUGUUCAUCUAUUAUCAGCUUAUGAAACGAAAGAAGCUUUUCGCACAACCUAAUACUUUAAAAUGAUUUAUAUUUAAUUAUAAAAUAAACUUCAUCUGUAUUUACAAUUAAACAAAUGAAGUUAUAGAGAAGAAAUCUGAUUAAUAUCAAAUGAAAUUUAAUAAUAUCAAAUGAUUAAUAUUAAUAUUCGAAGAACCUUUGUUACUGCAAAAAGAAACUGAUAUUAUCAAUGGAAGUAUGUAUGUACUUAUAAUGUAGAGAUAAAAUCAUUUUACUUAUAUAAUUAACACUUUUAUCUUAAUGCUUAUCCUUUUUUACAUUUUACUAGUUUACCGGAAAUGACCAAUCAGAUUUGUAUUUCAUCAUAUACAUAAUGAAGUGAUAAUUAUAGUACAAUCGAGUAGGAGAUGAUUUUCUAUGUGAAAAUAUAAGUCGAAAAUGUAGAAUAACAUUUUUCCUUAUGACGCUUUGUUUUAGAAAAAAUCAAGUUUGAAAAUUUAUUGAAAAUUAAUUUGAUUAAAUAUCAACUAGGUAAGAGAAAACAAUCAAAGGAAGUUAUUAUACAUGUGAAAAUAAGUAGAAAAUAUAAAAUAAAAUUUUCCUAUUUAAGACUUCGUUUUCCAGAAAAUGGAAUUUAAAAGUUUUUAAUUAUGAACUGAUCUUAUAUACGUAUGAUACAUAUUCAAAUUUAUUUUCCUCGAAAACGAAGCCUCAAAUGAAAAAAUGUUGUGUUUUCUUAUUUUUUGAUGGAGAAUGGUCUUCUGGCUAAUUGUACUACGAUUAUCUUCUUACCCUAAAGGAAAGGUAUAUACAUCUAUGAUGACAUAAGUGAGAAACGUUAAAACCAGAAUGUGGAAUCAUGUAAGAUCUCAAUGAGAUGAGACGAACUCAAAGAGAUGACAUAGGACAUGGACAGGAUUUCGACUGUCGAAUAGUAUGUAACAGUUAAUGAUCAUAUCGAUUAUAAACCUACCGUUAUACUGGUAUAUAACCAUGAUAGCCUGGUAUGUAACCAUUUUUAAUAAUAUUUUAAACGAUUUAUAUAUUUUUAUAUGACAUUUUUUGUUUGGUUAUGCUCAUAGAAUACAUAUACGAAAUAUGAGGCACGUAUAGUGUGAUAACUGGAUAUUAUCGAAAAUAUCAGUAACACAAAAUCGUGUUGUUAAGACAACUUGAAGUAUUGUAGGGAGCACAUUUUUUCGUAUAAUUAAAUUCAAAAUUUCGUAGAAUCAAGGUUGUCACCUUUCUUUUAUAUAGAACUAUAUAUAUUUUGAUAUACGUCGGUGUAGUCCACAUUAAAAUCAAUUCAACGAUUAUAAUCAUUCGAGGACAGAAUCACUUUUAUAGAAAUGUUUGGAAUCUUGAACUGUAAUAAUCAUUCGUGAAUUGGUGUUUUGCUUAUAAUCUUUUGUUAAAACUAUAUUUAAUAUUAGAUAUUAAAUUUUGUAUGAUCAUUUUUAUUUGUAUAUUGUGACAUCUAUAUAGUAGAGGAAGUAUAGAGUAUGGAAAUCUCCCACUCUUAAUUAAAGCCUAUAAAAUACAAAUGAUAAGAAAACGAAAUUCGCAAACAGGAACAAAACAAAACGGUAAGAACUUUCUUAAUUAGAACGAUAAUUAUAACAACAGAAAGGAAAUAAACCAAUUUAAAUUGAAUUUUAUUGUUAAACUUUCAGUCACAUUUGUUUAACUCGUGAGUGAACCUCUUCAACCAAAUUUGAUUCACGUUAAUAUUGCGUUUCUGUUGAUAGAGCAAAAGGUUGCCAGUAAAACUGACAAAAAUAGAUAAUUUACAAUACGCAACAUUUGAAUCCCGAUUUUUGUGCAAUUAUUGAAUGUUUUCGACUAUUCGGCUUGACUUUGUUUUCGAACGUGACAAGAAAGAACACAAAGAAUGAGAAGAAUGAAUACGAGAGGCUGGCUGUCGAGUAGCAU